CAACACUGGGACCGUCAAUGUUGACUGGGAAGCCGGCGAGAUUUUAGCUCGAGCCGAGAGCUAUGACGAAUUAGCCAGUCAGCCUAGCCAGGAUGGCCGACUGUAACGCCACACCAUAUUGCCUAGCCGAGCCUUAUGACGCCACGCCAUAGCCAAGCGAAGCCAAGCCAAAGCCAAAGCCAUACGGUUCGAUAACGAUCUUCCGGUUGUGAGUGACAUUACGUUCCACCGCCAAAUAAAGAGGGUAUAAAUGAGCCGAUUGUUGAUUUAUGUGAUUAUUCUUGUGUUAGCAUUCAAAUAAGUAGAAACGCUGCCAGUUUGUAUAAGUGAUUUUUAAUAAAGUAAUAAUUGUAUAAAGUG
This is a long non-coding RNA of Melitaea cinxia (Glanville fritillary), 360 nucleotides long. RefSeq lists it as uncharacterized. The transcript is spliced from 2 exons. The record is from RefSeq and is a predicted model, not a curated record. Lineage: Eukaryota; Metazoa; Arthropoda; Insecta; Lepidoptera; Nymphalidae.